GACGAACCGUGCGAACGUUAUUCGGAAUCAUUGGGCUUAAAGGGCGCGUAGGCGGAUGACCGCGUCGAGUGCUGAAAUCCCCCGGCUUAACCGGGGAACGGGCCUCGAAACGGGUCGUCUGGAGGCGAGGAGGGGGACCUGGAACGUCCGGUGGAGCGGUGAAAUGCGUUGAGAUCGGACGGAACACCGACGGCGAAAGCAAGGUCCUGGACUCGUACUGACGCUGAGGCGCGAAAGCCAGGGGAGCGAACGGG
This 254-nucleotide ribosomal RNA is filed under the name uncultured bacterium. RNAcentral describes it as "partial 16S ribosomal RNA". It matches the Rfam family "Bacterial small subunit ribosomal RNA", at positions 524 to 776 of the family's 1533-position model. The record is from RNAcentral.